UGGCAGGGGAGACAGCUGUUAAGCACGUGGGACUUUCUGCUUCCAUUCCCGAUUUUUUUUUUCAGUUCCCUCUCUCGGAUGCCAGGGGCGAGUGACAGAGGAGCCGGUUAUGUGUCGUGCCGCAUCCAUUGUCUACCCGCGUGCUUCUCACGUGCGGUCAUUGCCGUUUGCAAGCUGAACUCACCAGCGCCAGACAUUCCACCGCUUGUCUCUCUCUGCAGGUGUGGACUGCCGGGCUACAGCGCACGGGAAGGUGAAGUGUUCAGCGCAGCGGCCAGCGGCCUUCAUCCACGACAGCAGCUGCCCUUCGUGCUCUCUCGCGUUGCCGCCUCCAAGGCAAUUGCGUCGUUGUCGCCCGACGAUCGCGCCGCCUGUCUGAAAGAAAAAGACGGCCUCACCGUCGUGUUCACGGAUCGUCGCGAGGCGGCGCCAACGCUGCACGGGUGCUGCCUCAGCAUUGCACACGAAGACUCGGUCGCGGCAUCGGUGGCAUGGCCAGUGCUAUCGUCCGACUCUUCUUCCUUCAAGGACUAUAAUGCGGCUUCAGAGAGGCUCUACAUGGGAGCACAGCUGGCGUGCUCGCACUCCACUUUGCCUGAUGCGACGGCUACCUCUUUUACAUACGCAAUCGACGUGGCAAACGUGGCGGAGGUUCACCGCGUGCGCAGCCGCUUUCCCCACCUCGGCCAGCGAUGGAUGCCUCAGUGCACCACGACCGCGUCCGCCGACGAUGUAGGGCGUGCUUUAACGUGCGUUCAGAAGCAGCACCAGGAAUGUGUGGCGGCGGUGGGGGCGCCGCGGGACAGCCACGGCGGCGAAGGCGCCAGCGCACGCCAGGCGGCAUGCCGCCGAGAUGAGUGGUGGAAGCACUUGGCCACGCCGUAUGUCACCGAGGCGGACGCAUAUGCCGCAGUGGUGCUGGCGCAGCACUGGGGUGCGCGUGAGUGCGCCGUGAAGCUGUUAGGCAUCCCUGGUCGCUCUUUCGCAUACGAGUGCGUGCGUGCGCUGCCGCCAGGAGGUGGUGGUGCGGUGAUUAUGGAGUCCACCCCGUUUACAGCGUCUUUCCUGGUGCCACACACCCUCUAUUCUGCGGAGGUACACGGCGCUGAGGCGGCGACCUUGGCGCGGCAAGGACUGCAUCCUCUUCUAUACCUCUAUACAUGGACGGAAUGGGUGCCGCUCAAUAACACGGUGGAUCUCCCCUACGUGGUGGUGCUGGCCUGCGCACCUUGUCGCUCAGGCGCACGGUGAUGCACCCUCUCUCUCUGUUUGUAAGUGUGCCGCGCGCGCUUCUUGUUUGAGAGGUACAUCCCUUCUGCCAUGGUGGCGGUGCGGGCGGACGCGUGCAUUGCUAGCUGCAAGCAACGGUGGCGCACUGAGGGGCACUCCUCAGCCUUUUGCUGGCUAUGCCUGCAUGUC
Molecule: unclassified non-coding RNA, 1419 nt
Filed under: Leishmania donovani
Lineage: Eukaryota; Euglenozoa; Kinetoplastea; Trypanosomatida; Trypanosomatidae
Description: gene:LdHU3.32.0980(CDS-product:hypothetical_prote in_conserved)
Source: RNAcentral